UACGUAGGGUGCGAGCGUUGUCCGGAAUUAUUGGGCGUAAAGAGCUCGUAGGCGGUCUGUCGCGUCGAUCGUGAAAACUUGGGGCUUAACCCUGAGCUUGCGGUCGAUACGGGCAUGACUGGAGUUCGGCAGGGGAGACUGGAAUUCCUGGUGUAGCGGUGAAAUGCGCAGAUAUCAGGAGGAACACCAAUUGCGAAGGCAGCUCGCUGGAACGUAACUGACGCUGAGACGCGAAAGCGUGGGGAGCAAACAGG
Molecule: ribosomal RNA, 254 nt
Filed under: uncultured bacterium
Lineage: Bacteria
Description: partial 16S ribosomal RNA
Rfam family: Bacterial small subunit ribosomal RNA
Source: RNAcentral